This 74-nucleotide small nucleolar RNA is filed under the name Salix viminalis (osier). RNAcentral's name for it is "Small nucleolar RNA R66". It matches the Rfam family "Small nucleolar RNA R66". From Rfam's summary of the family: snoR66 is a C/D box small nucleolar RNA, which acts as a methylation guide for 18S ribosomal RNA in plants. snoR66 has been alternatively named snoZ269 in rice. RNAcentral also lists the same sequence under 2 other names. The record is from Rfam by way of RNAcentral. Lineage: Eukaryota; Viridiplantae; Streptophyta; Magnoliopsida; Malpighiales; Salicaceae.
UCCUAUGAUGGCAUGAAAUCUUUGAGACCUGAUUUUUUCAUUGGAUGACAACUACAAGCAUAAUCGCUGAGGAU